This 71-nucleotide transfer RNA is filed under the name Marmota monax (woodchuck). Its description in RNAcentral is "tRNA.Ala". The record is from RNAcentral. Lineage: Eukaryota; Metazoa; Chordata; Mammalia; Rodentia; Sciuridae.
GAUUGGGGCUCAGCGGAAGAGCGCUUGCCUCGCAUGGGCAAGACCCUGAGUUCAAUCCUCAGCACCACAUA